CCUACGGGUGGCUGCAGUGGGGAAUUUUGGACAAUGGGGGCAACCCUGAUCCAGCCAUUCCGCGUGAGUGAAGAAGGCCUUCGGGUUGUAAAGCUCUUUCGGCAGGAACGAAACGGUGGGAGCUAAUAUCUUCUACUAAUGACGGUACCUGAAGAAGAAGCACCGGCUAACUACGUGCCAGCAGCCGCGGUAAUACGUAGGGUGCGAGCGGUAAUCGGAAUUACUGGGCGUAAACUCAAGGCAGGCGGUGAAUCCCCGGGCUGAACCUGGGAACUGCAUUUGAAACUAGGUCGCUAGAGUGUAGCAGAGGGGGGUAGAAUUCCACGUGUAGCAGUGAAAUGCGUAGAGAUGUGGAGGAAUACCGAUGGCGAAGGCAGCCCCCUGGGUUAACACUGACGCUCAUGCACGAAAGCGUGGGGAGCAAACAGGAUUAGAUACCCCAGUAGU
Molecule: ribosomal RNA, 447 nt
Filed under: uncultured bacterium
Lineage: Bacteria
Description: partial 16S ribosomal RNA
Rfam family: Bacterial small subunit ribosomal RNA
Source: RNAcentral